This 254-nucleotide ribosomal RNA is filed under the name uncultured bacterium. RNAcentral's name for it is "partial 16S ribosomal RNA". It matches the Rfam family "Bacterial small subunit ribosomal RNA", at positions 524 to 776 of the family's 1533-position model. The record is from RNAcentral.
UACGUAGGGGGCGAGCGUUGUCCGGAUUCAUUGGGCGUAAAGAGCUCGUAGGCGGCUUGGCAAGUCGGGUGUGAAAACUUCAGGCUCAACCUGGAGCGGCCACUCGAUACUGCCAUGGCUUGAGUCCGGUAGGGGACCACGGAAUUCCUGGUGUAGCGGUGAAAUGCGCAGAUAUCAGGAGGAACACCGGUGGCGAAGGCGGCUCUCUGGGACGGUACUGACGCUGAGACGCGAAAGCGUGGGGAGCGAACAGG